Molecule: ribosomal RNA, 497 nt
Filed under: uncultured bacterium
Lineage: Bacteria
Description: partial 16S ribosomal RNA
Rfam family: Bacterial small subunit ribosomal RNA
Source: RNAcentral
GAUGAACGCUGGCGGCGUGCCUAAUACAUGCAAGUCGAGCGAACAGACGAGGAGCUUGCUCCUCUGACGUUAGCGGCGGACGGGUGAGUAACACGUGGAUAACCUACCUAUAAGACUGGGAUAACUUCAGGAAACCGGAGCUAAUACCGGAUAAUAUAUUGAACCGCAUGGUUCAAUAGUGAAAGACGGUUUUGCUGUCACUUAUAGAUGGAUCCGCGCCGCAUUAGCUAGUUGGUAAGGUAACGGCUUACCAAGGCAACGAUGCGUAGCCGACCUGAGAGGGUGAUCGGCCACACUGGAACUGAGACACGGUCCAGACUCCUACGGGAGGCAGCAGUAGGGAAUCUUCCGCAAUGUGCGAAAGCCUGACGGAGCAACGCCGCGUGAGUGAUGAAGGUCUUCGGAUCGUAAAACUCUGUUAUUAGGGAAGAACAAAUGUGUAAGUAACUAUGCACGUCUUGACGGUACCUAAUCAGAAAGCCACGGCUAACUACGUG